GUACACUCCUGCGGGAGGCAGCAGUGGGGAAUUUUGGACAAUGGGCGAAAGCCUGAUCCAGCAAUGCCGCGUGAGUGAAGAAGGCCUUCGGGUUGUAAAGCUCUUUUGUCAGGGAAGAAACGGUGAAAGCUAAUAUCUUUUGCUAAUGACGGUACCUGAAGAAUAAGCACCGGCUAACUACGUGCCAGCAGCCGCGGUAAUACGUAGGGUGCAAGCGUUAAUCGGAAUUACUGGGCGUAAAGCGUGCGCAGGCGGUUUUGUAAGUCUGAUGUGAAAUCCCCGGGCUCAACCUGGGAAUUGCAUUGGAGACUGCAAAGCUAGAAUCUGGCAGAGGGGGGUAGAAUUCCACGUGUAGCAGUGAAAUGCGUAGAUAUGUGGAGGAACACCGAUGGCGAAGGCAGCCCCCUGGGUCAAGAUUGACGCUCAUGCACGAAAGCGUGGGGAGCAAACAGGAUUAGAUACCCUAGUAGUCCCA
This 475-nucleotide ribosomal RNA is filed under the name uncultured organism. RNAcentral's name for it is "partial 16S ribosomal RNA". It matches the Rfam family "Bacterial small subunit ribosomal RNA", at positions 331 to 797 of the family's 1533-position model. The record is from RNAcentral.